This 439-nucleotide unclassified non-coding RNA is filed under the name uncultured Thelephoraceae. RNAcentral describes it as "sequence contains ITS2". The stretch from base 1 to 155 matches the Rfam family "5.8S ribosomal RNA". The record is from RNAcentral. Lineage: Eukaryota; Fungi; Basidiomycota; Agaricomycetes; Thelephorales; Thelephoraceae.
AACUUUUGACAACGGAUCUCUUGGCUCUCGCAUCGAUGAAGAACGCAGCGAAAUGCGAUAAGGAAUGUGAAUUGCAGAAUUCAGUCAAUCAUCGAAUCUUUGAACGCACCUUGCGCCCUUUGGCUAUUCUGAAGGGCAUGCCUGUUUGAGCAUCAUAAACAUCUCAACUCUCACGGUUUCCUGUGAUGUGUUUGGACUUUGGGGGUCUUGUUGGCUUGUGGUCAGCUCCCCUCAACUCUAUCAGCUUCCCAGUGUCUGGCAGCAUCACAGGUGUGAUAAAUAUCUACGCUUGUGGUUCUUUGCCAGGUCUGUCCUCUCCUUGCAGAGGGCUCGCUGGAGCUCAUAGAUGUCUCUCCUUGGUGGAGACAGCUGUUUGAAGUUUGGUCUCAAAUCAGGUAGGAUUACCCGCUGAACUUAAGCAUAUCAAUAAGCGGAGGCU